Long non-coding RNA from Silurus meridionalis, 867 nucleotides. RefSeq lists it as uncharacterized. The record is from RefSeq and is a predicted model, not a curated record. The transcript has 3 exons. NCBI's taxonomy places the organism in Eukaryota, Metazoa, Chordata, Actinopteri, Siluriformes, Siluridae.
CCGUUCGUUAUUGUUUAUGUUGGACUUCCCGUACUGCAUGUUCCGGCGUUCCGGCGUUCCUACAGGACUUCUUUCAUCCGUUUCAUCCGGACUCCAGAAUCCCGUACCGGCUGCGCUUCCCCACCCUGUGCAUCUCGGUUACCCUUCAACCAGUUUAUGAUGAAGCGCUCUCUCUUUCUCCCAUGUUUAACAGGUGUUGUCCCAGUCAUCCUUUCUCUUCUGCGACCUGUUUCUCGCAAAUAUAAUCUAAUCAAGACUACGGUAACAUGGUCAGCUGCACAGAAUUACUGCAGGGAAACAUACGAUGACCUGGCUACAAUUGAAAGUGACAAUGACUGGUUCAAAUUAAAGAAAACUUUGUCAAGUGAACCCUUGACAGAUGUUGCCUGGGUCGGCUUGUACAAUAAUAUUGACAGCUGGAAAUGGUCCUUUUAUGAUGUCCCACUGAAAAAUACUUUUGUGCAGUGGAUAUCCUGAUUAUUCGAAUGGGAAAGCAACAUGUUGUCUAACAAGCCCAAGUGUACAGUUGUACAAUAACCCUUGCACAUCAGUUUAUCCUUUUAUUUGUUUCAAUGGUGAGAAUUAUUUUUACUUUUUUCCUAUUACUAAAAAAGUUACACAAUUUGAAUUCCAUGAUUUAAAAAAAAUAUAUUGUUUUUGCUAGGUGAUAUAGUUUGUGUUUCACUUAUUGGCACCUGUCAUUACAAAUUAGCAAAAUUAUUAUAUAAAAAGAUUAAGUAAGUAAUAAGUGCUAUUUUGAACUUAAUUUAGCAGAGAUGGCACAUACUGUUGCUUACACUUUUCUCAUUAGUACAAAAGUUUUCCUAGUGCAUUUAUUUCUAAAAUAAAAACCUGUUUUAAAAAUUA